UACGGACGGGGCGAGCGUUGUUCGGAAUCAUUGGGCGUAAAGGGCGCGUAGGUGGUUCUGUAUGUCUGCCGUGAAAGGGUACAGCUUAACUGUAGCUUGUCGGUAGAAACUGCAGGACUUGAGGCUGGGAGGGGCUGGUGGAAUUCCCUGUGUAGCGGUGAAAUGCGUAGAGAUGGGGGAGAACACUCGUGGCGAAGGCGGCCAGCUAGACCAGUUCUGACACUGAGGCGCGACAGCGUGGGGAGCAAACAGG
RNAcentral lists this ribosomal RNA (253 nucleotides) under uncultured bacterium. Its description in RNAcentral is "partial 16S ribosomal RNA". It matches the Rfam family "Bacterial small subunit ribosomal RNA", at positions 524 to 776 of the family's 1533-position model. The record is from RNAcentral.